RNAcentral lists this ribosomal RNA (856 nucleotides) under uncultured bacterium. RNAcentral describes it as "bacterial SSU rRNA". It matches the Rfam family "Bacterial small subunit ribosomal RNA", at positions 524 to 1381 of the family's 1533-position model. The record is from RNAcentral.
UACGGAGGGUGCAAGCAUUAAUCGGAUUUAUUGGGUGUAAAGAGCGCGUAGGCGGGUCAGCAAGUCAGAUGUGAAAUUCCGGAACUCAAUUCCGGAGCUGCAUUUGAAACUACUGAUCUUGAGGAUAGACGGAGAAAACGGAAUUCCACAUGUAGCGGUGAAAUGCGUAGAUAUGUGGAAGAACACCGGUGGCGAAGGCGGUUUUCUAGUUUAUUCCUGACGCUGAGGCGCGAGAGCAAGGGUAGCAAACAGGAUUAGAUACCCUGGUAGUCCUUGCCGUAAACGAUGCAUACUUGGUGUAGCUGGACUCAACCCCGGCUGUGCCGUAGCUAACGUGUUAAGUAUGCCACCUGAGGAGUACGCUCGCAAGGGUGAAACUCAAAAGAAUUGACGGGGGCCCGCACAAGCAGUGGAGCAUGUGGUUUAAUUCGAUGCAACGCGAAGAACCUUACCCAGGCUUGACAUAUAGAGGACGGCAUUAGAGAUAGUGCUUCCGCAAGGCCUCUAUACAGGUGCUGCAUGGCUGUCGUCAGCUCGUGCCGUGAGGUGUUGGGUUAAGUCCCGCAACGAGCGCAACCCUCGUCGCUAGUUACCAACAUGUAAUGAUGGGGACUCUAGCGAGACUGCCUAGGUUAACUAGGAGGAAGGUGAGGAUGACGUCAAGUCCGCAUGGCCUUUAUGUCUGGGGCUACACACGUGCUACAAUGGUCGGUACAGAAGGCAGCGAAGCCGAAAGGUGGAGCAAAUCCUCAAAGCCGAUCCCAGUUCGAAUAGAAGUCUGCAACUCGACUUCUUGAAGUUGGAAUUGCUAGUAAUGACGUGUCAGCAAUAACGUCGUGAAUACGUUCCCGGGCCU